CAGUAGCCGCGGUAAUACGUAGGGUGCGAGCGUUAAUCGGAAUUACUGGGCGUAAAGCGUGCGCAGGCGGUUUGUAAGACAGGCGUGAAAUCCCCGGGCUUAACCUGGGAACUGCGCUUGUGACUGCACAGCUAGAGUAUGGCAGAGGGGGGUGGAAUUCCACGUGUAGCAGUGAAAUGUGUAGAUAUGCGGAGGAACACCGAUGGCGAAGGUAAUCCCCUGGGCCUGCACUGACGCUCAUGCACGAAAGCGUGGGGAGCAAACAGGAUUAGAUACCCCGGUAGUCCCUGUCUCUUAUACA
This 301-nucleotide ribosomal RNA is filed under the name uncultured bacterium. RNAcentral describes it as "partial 16S ribosomal RNA". It matches the Rfam family "Bacterial small subunit ribosomal RNA", at positions 509 to 808 of the family's 1533-position model. The record is from RNAcentral.